Molecule: long non-coding RNA, 805 nt
Filed under: Monodelphis domestica (gray short-tailed opossum)
Lineage: Eukaryota; Metazoa; Chordata; Mammalia; Didelphimorphia; Didelphidae
Description: lncRNA (ENSMODG00000035035.2)
Source: RNAcentral
CUCAGAGAACCCCAACAAUCCUUAGAUCGCACUUUGAGAACCACUGCCGGAAGCACAAGUCAUCCAAGAGUUAGAAAAGAUAAAGUAAAAUCCAGAGCCUGGCAGAAGAGAAUUUCAAAUUAGCUUCAGACCUUUGGGUAGAGGGUCCUCAUGAGAAGGAGGCUGGAUUUCUGACCUGCACCAGAACAAUAAGGUUCACAAAUAUCCCCUGGGAGAGAAGGCUCUGUGCCCCAAGGAGUGACUGGCAUGGAAGAGCUCUGUUCUAUCCAUUUUCAUUUUGGGUCCAAUUGAGAAUCAUGAACUGGAGGGAUUCCAUGGGAACUGGAAUGACCUCCAGGAAGUGAUGCAGAGUGAGAGGAGCAGAACCAGGAGAACAUUGUACACAGAGAUGGAUACACUGUGGUACAAUCGAAUGUAAUAGACUUCUCUGCUAGCAGCAACUCAAUGAUCAAGGACAAUUCUGAGAGACUUAUGAGAAAGAACACUAUCCACAUUUAGAGAAAGAACUGUGGGAAUAGAAACACAGAAGAAAAACAACUGCUUGAUCACAUGGGUCGAUGGAGAUAUAAUUGGGGAUGUAGUCUCUAAAUGAUCACCCUAGUGCAAAUAUCAAUAAUAUGGAAAUAGGUCUUGAUAAAUGAUAUGUGUAAAACCCAGUGGAAUUGUGUGUCAACUACAAGAGGGGGGAGGGGAAGGGGAGGGAAAGAACAAGAAUCUUGUAAUCAUGGAAAAAUAUUCUAAAUUAACUAAUUAAAUGAAAUUUUCAAAAAAUAAAAAAUAAAUUUAAAAAAAGUUUCCCUUUAGC